Molecule: ribosomal RNA, 1202 nt
Filed under: metagenome
Description: SSU rRNA
Rfam family: Eukaryotic small subunit ribosomal RNA
Source: RNAcentral
AGUCUGGUGCCAGCAGCCGCGGUAAUUCCAGCUCCAAUAGCGUAUAUUAAAGUUGUUGCAGUUAAAAAGCUCGUAGUUGAAAUUUUGAUUGUAGCGGUCAGUCUCACAACAGUGAGUGCUAGAUGUGCUGUGGUCAUGUUUCGUUGGAACGUGUGUGGCAUUGAGUUGUCGUGCAUGGGAAGACGAUCGUUUACUGUGAAAAAAUUAGAGUGUUCAAAGCAGGCUUAUGCCGUUGAAUAUAUUAGCAUGGAAUAAUAAGAUAGGACCAGGGUACUAUUUUGUUGGUUUGUGCACCUUGGUAAUGAUUAAUAGGGACAGUUGGGGAUAUUCGUAUUGCGGUGUCAGAGGUGAAAUUCUUGGAUUUCCGCAAGACGAGCUACUGCGAAAGCAUUUAUCAAGGAUGUUUUCAUUAAUCAAGAACGAAAGUUAGGGGAUCGAAGAUGAUUAGAUACCAUCGUAGUCUUAACCAUAAACUAUGCCGACAAGGGAUUGGCAGGGUGUGUUUAUGCCUCUGUCAGCACCUUAGGAGAAAUCAUAAGUUUUUGGGUUCCGGGGGGAGUAUGGUCGCAAGGCUCAAACUUAAAGACAUUGACGGAAGGGCACCACCAGGAGUGGAGCCUGCGGCUUAAUUUGACCAACACGGGAAAACUUACCAGGUCCAGACAUAGUGAGGAUUGACAGUUUGAGAGCUCUUUCUUGAUUCUAUGGGUGGUGGUGCAUGGCCGUUCUUAGUUGGUGGAGUGAUUUGUCUGGUUAAUUCCGUUAACGAACGAGACCCCCGCCUGCUAAAUAGAUGGUCUAGUGAUUUUUCACUGGAAACAUCUUCUUAGAGGUACGUGCGUUCUAUUAGACGCAGGAAGAUGGGGGCAAUAACAGGUCUGUGAUGCCCUUAGAUGUCCUGGGCCGCACGCGCGCUACACUGAUGCAUUCAACGAGUUGCCUUCACCGAGAGGUGUGGGAAAUCUUGGAAUGUGCAUCGUGAUAGGGAUAGAUUCUUGUAAUUUUUAAUCUUGAACGAGGAAUUCCUAGUAAACGCAGAUCGUCAAUCUGCAUUGAUUACGUCCCUGCCCUUUGUACACGCCGCCCGUCGCACCUACCGAUUGAAUGGUCCGGUGAAGCCUCGGGAUUGUGAUGACUUUUCUUCAUUGAGAGGUCGUUGCGAGAACUUGUCUAAACCUUAUCAUUUAGAGGAAGGUGAAGUC